Molecule: ribosomal RNA, 245 nt
Filed under: uncultured Hungatella sp.
Lineage: Bacteria; Bacillati; Bacillota; Clostridia; Lachnospirales; Lachnospiraceae
Description: partial 16S ribosomal RNA
Rfam family: Bacterial small subunit ribosomal RNA
Source: RNAcentral
UACGUAGGGGGCAAGCGUUAUCCGGAUUUACUGGGUGUAAAGGGAGCGUAGACGGUAAGACAAGUCUGAAGUGAAAUCCCGCGGCUCAACCGCGGAACUGCUUUGGAAACUGUUUUACUAGAGUGCAGGAGAGGUAAGUGGAAUUCCUAGUGUAGCGGUGAAAUGCGUAGAUAUUAGGAGGAACACCGGUGGCGAAGGCGGCUUACUGGACUGUAACUGACGUUGAGGCUCGAAAGCGUGGGGAG